RNAcentral lists this ribosomal RNA (441 nucleotides) under uncultured bacterium. RNAcentral describes it as "partial 16S ribosomal RNA". It matches the Rfam family "Bacterial small subunit ribosomal RNA", at positions 28 to 507 of the family's 1533-position model. The record is from RNAcentral.
GAUGAACGCUGGCGGCGUGCCUAAUACAUGCAAGUCGAACGGGGAGUAGCAAUACUCUUAGUGGCGAACGGGUGAGUAACGCGUUGGUACCUGCCCCGAAGCGGGGGAUAACGGACCGAAAGGUCCGCUAAUACCCCAUGUGCUCGGUAACGAGUAAAGGUGAAAACCACUUUGGGAGGGGCCUGCGUCCCAUCAGCUAGUUGGUAAGGUAACGGCUUACCAAGGCGAUGACGGGUAGGGGACCUGAGAGGGUGGCCCCCCACAAUGGAACUGAAAUACGGUCCAUACACCUACGGGUGGCAGCAGUAGGGAAUAUUGGUAAUGGGCGCAAGCCUGAACCAGCAACGCCGCGUGUGCGAUGACGGCCUUCGGGUUGUAAAGCACUUUUGACUGGGACGAGGAAGGACGGUACCGGUCGAAUCAGCCUCGGCUAACUACGUG